GCGACCCCAGGUCAAGCGGGGCUA
Molecule: ribosomal RNA, 24 nt
Filed under: Corymbia cadophora
Lineage: Eukaryota; Viridiplantae; Streptophyta; Magnoliopsida; Myrtales; Myrtaceae
Description: partial 26S ribosomal RNA
Source: RNAcentral